AAAUAUUCUACUCUUGCUAGGGAAAGGUCCUGGUUUCUCCUGUUACUCUAAGGAAGGCCUACUCUUAGGCAAGCCCAUAAUCUCUAGAUACCUUGCCAAAUUUUCAUCUUGGUUUUCCCUUUUUUCUUUAACAGAUGACCCCUGUAAGUUCUUUGUCAUUUUAUUCCUGGUUAAUUAUCUGUUUUUUUAUAAAAAUUAUUUGUGAUGUUAUUGAAUGGAGUUGGGAAGAGAUGCACAAUAGCACAUGUUUAUAUUGUAUUUUCCUCGGACUGGUGCAAUAGACCUCAAGAGCAAUACCUGCUCCCAAGUCUUCACUCAGGUUCUGCUCUUGGGAGAGAGGAAACCCAAACUAAGACAGUAGGUAUAAAUACCCUCAUAUUACAGGUGAGGAUUUAUGGCCCUCAGUUUAAUGCUUUCUUCGGAGGAGGCAAGGGCUGAAGUUGCUACAGACCCAUAUGGACACACUGCCAGUAACUUGGGGUAACUCAGAUCUCCGCCAUCGCUAACAGAUCCAGCCCUUCUGCAGACCAGCUCUCAGCUAACAUACAUCCCUGGUUAGCUCACCCCCGUGAUGGGUGGGAAAAAAUAAUGCUAAAGUCCUGAAUGAGUUAAGAUGUUGAACUGUGGAGUCCUGCUGGCCUGUAUUUUAAUGGGGAAGUAAUCCAAAAUGUGUUGCAUGGGCCAGUGCUGGUCCAUAAAUUGCUUGUUACUGUUCUGUAUAUGAUCUAAGCUCUUCUGAGACCUGAAAAUGUGUAUUUAGAUUACUUUUAUUGCUUGUGUAAGAUUAGUACACUUUAGAGGGAAACAUACAUUGUAUAGGUUAUUAAGAACUUUGUAACAGCAUCACAAACUCCCAUUCAUUUUUUUCCUUAAUUUUCAAGUGUUAUGAAAAUAACAACCUCAGCGUAUUUUUCAAUUUUAUCUAUUUUCUCCUCUAUAUCCGUCACCGAUUUGUAUGUAUUUACAUUUAUAAAAUGUGGAUUGCCUGAAGUUUAUUAAGGUUAAGAGUGUCUGAUGCUCUUCUCAGUACAAAGAUGGUGUUACAUAAAUCUGGGAGGUCAGCUUGGACAGUCAGGAAACAUAGAGGGACACUUUCCAAACUUGAGUUACUUUGAGGUAUACUCAAUGUUUAUUUCUAGCAAGAAAGAUGGGAGUUAUGCCCGUGUUAAUAUCUCUUUAUGUUUGUUUUCUUUAGACACAGACAGCAAUUCUGAGGAUUCUGGGAAUCCAUCAACAACUAGGUUUACAGGUUACGGUUCUGUCAACCAGACUGUCACUGUCAAGCCACCUGUUCAAAUUGCUUCACUAGGAAAUGAGAAUGGAAACCUUUUAGAAGAUCCCUUAAACUCACCCAAGUAUCAGCAUAUUUCUUUUAUGCCAACGUUACACUGUGUCAUGCACAAUGGUGCCCAGAAGUCUGAAGUUGUCGUUCCUGCACCCAAACCCGCUGAUGGCAAAACCAUAGGGAUGCUUGUUCCUAGUCCUGUUGCUAUUUCUGCAAUAAGGGAGUCUGCAAAUUCAACCCCUGUUGGAAUACUAGGGCCAACAGCUUGCACUGGAGAAUCGGAAAAGCACCUUGAGUUACUGGCUUCCCCUUUACCUAUUCCAUCAACCUUCCUUCCACACAGUAGUACUCCCGCUUUGCAUCUUACAGUUCAGAGGCUAAAGUUGCCACCACCACAGGGAUCUUCUGAGAGCUGCACAGUUAACA
This 1711-nucleotide long non-coding RNA is filed under the name Homo sapiens (human). RNAcentral's name for it is "long non-coding RNA NONHSAT177895.1". The record is from RNAcentral. Lineage: Eukaryota; Metazoa; Chordata; Mammalia; Primates; Hominidae.